UUUACAGCAACUUAUUGGGUGAGGAACAUACUUUUGUGUAUGGAACAUUGUACCCAACAGCCUCUGCAAGUGCAUAGUUCUUUGCUGACAUUGGACUCUCAACGAUGGAAGCAGUCAAGGUGUGUAUUCAAACAAUGCCAGGAUUCUCAAAUACACUAAGGGAGGAUGCACCAAAGCUUUUCGCCAUGGAAGGUAUUAGAGGGUUUGUGGAAGGGUCUGGUCCCACGUAUCGUUAUGAUUGGUACCCUGACUGCUCUACAAUGGUUCAUCUAUGACUCGGUUAAGGUGUACUUCCGUCUGCCCCGCCCACCACCACCAGAGAGCCUCAAGCAGAAGUUAGCUGCCAAAU
Molecule: long non-coding RNA, 349 nt
Organism: Asterias rubens (European starfish)
Lineage: Eukaryota; Metazoa; Echinodermata; Asteroidea; Forcipulatida; Asteriidae
Exons: 2
Source: RefSeq, a predicted model, not a curated record